AGCGUGAACACAUGGCACAUUGCACAGUGAACCACACCCACCAGAGGUCUGAGGCCGACACCCACCGCUGAUGCCGUCGAGUCAAACGAGAACGGCACAUUCUGACUGACUCUCCCAACACCCUGAAAGACACCAAUAUAUUCCUUAGUUCCCUCCUUCCUUCCUCCUUCCCUCAGUUCCUUGCCUUAUUCCCUCACCUACCGUACUUCCUUAUAAGGUAUGUCCUCCAUUUGUCUGUCAAUCAAACCGGGAGGCUCCACCAACUCCUUCCUGGAGACAUGCAUCAGAGCGCACAGCUGAGCUUUGAGGUGGCCGGAACACGGCAGGCGACCUCGACGUACGUCCUGACAAAGUUGGAGGACCAAUCAUGGCAGCUGACUCCAGUCCUCCUGUCUGCGUUCAGAUCCUCGCUGUGAUCAUCCUCCUCUGUUUUGGAGUCUAUAGCUUAAUCAAGGGAGCCUCCUCCUCCUCCUUCAGCUGGUGGUCAAUCCUGGGAGCUGCCUGUCUGCUCGCCACCGCCUUUGCUGCCUUUCGCCUCUAUGAGGUCUGCAGGAGAAAGGCAGAGGAGGCGAAGAAGAGGCGAGAAAAAGACGAGCACAGAGGAUUGUCUGAGGAGAAGUGAUGAAGAGGAGCUUCAGAUCAAUAAUCCUGAAUUAUUUUAAUUUGUCCCAAACGGCUGAUGUCACACUUUCUCUCUCCUGAUUGGCUGCUGGGUGGUGUUACACUGUAAAAAGAUU
Molecule: long non-coding RNA, 737 nt
Organism: Oreochromis aureus
Lineage: Eukaryota; Metazoa; Chordata; Actinopteri; Cichliformes; Cichlidae
Exons: 4
Source: RefSeq, a predicted model, not a curated record